RNAcentral lists this unclassified non-coding RNA (403 nucleotides) under fungal sp. Its description in RNAcentral is "partial internal transcribed spacer region". The stretch from base 1 to 46 matches the Rfam family "Eukaryotic small subunit ribosomal RNA", at positions 1786 to 1831 of the family's 1831-position model. The record is from RNAcentral. Lineage: Eukaryota; Fungi.
AAGUCGUAACAAGGUUUCCGUAGGUGAACCUGCGGAAGGAUCAUUAACACGUAUCCAACGUUAAAACCCCCGUGAACUUUCAAUCCUGCUCUUGUAACCCGCGGUAAAUCAUAGCCCGGAAAGUUGUUUUGAUUCAGAGACCUCUGGCUACGUGAGAACAUUGGAACAGUUACAAUCGAGCGGUAGUUUCAUAGGCAUUGUUUCCCCAAGCAGUCAGUGUCGGAAAGUGUCACUGAUUGUGCAAGGAUAGCGCUUCACGAUUCCUGUAGACCGUACACUCGGGCAGGAGCUAUGCCAAAGGGUCCCCAUGCCCCCUUAUAACCCCACAGUUUAAUGUAAAGCUCAAUGUAAUACAUUGGGUAAAAAAACCGAACAACUGUUAACAAUGGAUAUCUUGGUUCUC